RNAcentral lists this long non-coding RNA (1294 nucleotides) under Helianthus annuus (common sunflower). Lineage: Eukaryota; Viridiplantae; Streptophyta; Magnoliopsida; Asterales; Asteraceae. The record is from RNAcentral.
GGGGAAAGAAAGGGUGAAACCCUACCUGUUCAAUCAAGGUCAAAAUUCAGCAAAUUAAUGGUGGAAUCACAUUAGCAAGGACUCGAAAAUGGAAGGUUAACGGGUCAAGCAGAGGCGAGGAAACAAGCGUGAACACUAACGCUCGAGGUAAGUGACUUUCGAUUCACUUCUUAGUAUACAUAUAGAGUUUUCUUGUUAUGGUUGAAUGGGAUGAUUGAUGUAUAUAAAAUGGCCGACAAGUAGGUAUGUAUGAAUGCAUUUAGGAAAAUUACGUAAGUACAUGCACGUGUGAGCUAAGGUAUGCACGGGUGUAGUUAUGAUUCAUUUUAUGAAUGUAUGUAAGUAUGGAGUUAUGUAUGCAUGUAUGUAUAUAUGUAGGUAUUGGUGUAUGUAUGUACGUAAGUAGUUAUGUAUGAGCAUGAGCAUUAUGUAUUUGAAUAUGAAAGUACAUACGUGUGUAGGUACGAACGUAUAUAUAUAUGUGGAUGCAAGUAAGUAUGUAUGUAUGUAUGUGAGUAGGUAUGUGUGUAUGUAGUUAUGUAUGUAUGUAUGUAAAUACAUAUGCGAAGAUGUAAUCAUGUAUGUAUGUAAUUAGAUGCGUGGGUAUGCAAGUAAAGGUAUGUAUGUAUGUAGAUGUGUAUUAUGCGUAUGCGAAGAUACGUAGGUAUAUAUGAAUGUAUGUAGAGAAGUAGUAAUGCAUGCGCGAAUGUAGAUAUGGGGUUGGUAUAGAAGAAGGUACGUAUGAGUAUAUGUAGGUAUGUAGAAAUAUAGGAGCACAUGUACGUAUGUAGACGCAUAUGUAUACAUGUAAACAUGUACAUGUGCAUGAUUUAGAUACGUAGAAUUUUAACGUUACUAAUUAUGCGUUUGAGGUUGGUAUGUGAUGCAGGAACAAGUACACCGGAUUCUUACGAAACUUAAACCGAACCCGGAAUAAGAGGAUGAGAAAGAAUAAUUGGAUGAAUUAAUGUUAAAUUGACGAACGUUAUUCAAUCUUUAAUUACAUGAUAUUAAUGUUAUAUGAUGUUGCCUUUGACUAAUGGUUAAGUUGUAUGUGAUGCCCACAGGUGUUACACGGACUUCUUCUGCUGCUAUGGAAGUGAAGCGGACGUAGAUCGAGUCAAGAGCAAGGAUUGUACGGAUAGAUUGGUCACAUAGUUGAAGUAUAUAACGUUUAGAAAUCUAAAUUUUAGUAUGAAUGUUGUAAAUUCUUUUAUAGUACGUUUAACAUUUUUAGGAUUUGGAUCCUUCGUGAAAGAAAUGUUGUUAAUACGGAAGAAAAUUUUAAAGCUCU